This 512-nucleotide ribosomal RNA is filed under the name uncultured bacterium. RNAcentral describes it as "bacterial SSU rRNA". It matches the Rfam family "Bacterial small subunit ribosomal RNA", at positions 8 to 518 of the family's 1533-position model. The record is from RNAcentral.
AGAGUUUGAUCAUGGCUCAGGAUGAACGCUGGCGGCGUGCCUAACACAUGCAAGUCGAACGAAGCACGUCUUGUUGAUCCUCCGGGUGAAACGAAAGUGACUGAGUGGCGGACGGGUGAGUAACGCGUGGGUAACCUGCCCUGUACAGGGGGAUAACAGUCAGAAAUGACUGCUAAUACCGCAUAAGCGCACGGAGGGACAUCCUUCUGUGUGAAAAAACUCCGGUGGUACAGGAUGGGCCCGCGUCUGAUUAGCUAGUUGGCGGGUAAGGGCCCACCAAGGCGACGAUCAGUAGCCGGUCUGAGAGGAUGAACGGCCACAUUGGAACUGAGACACGGUCCAAACUCCUACGGGAGGCAGCAGUGGGGAAUAUUGCACAAUGGGGGGAACCCUGAUGCAGCAACGCCCGCGUGAGUGAAGAAGUAUUUCGGUAUGUAAAGCUUCUAGUCAGCAGGGAAGAUAAUGACGGUACCUGACUAAGAAGCUCCGGCUAAAUACGUGCCAGCAGCUGC